RNAcentral lists this ribosomal RNA (322 nucleotides) under Lysinibacillus sp. RNAcentral's name for it is "bacterial SSU rRNA". It matches the Rfam family "Bacterial small subunit ribosomal RNA", at positions 1209 to 1530 of the family's 1533-position model. The record is from RNAcentral. Lineage: Bacteria; Bacillati; Bacillota; Bacilli; Caryophanales; Bacillaceae.
CUGGGCUACACACGUGCUACAAUGGACGAUACAAACGGUUGCCAACUCGCGAGAGGGAGCUAAUCCGAUAAAGUCGUUCUCAGUUCGGAUUGUAGGCUGCAACUCGCCUACAUGAAGCCGGAAUCGCUAGUAAUCGCGGAUCAGCAUGCCGCGGUGAAUACGUUCCCGGGCCUUGUACACACCGCCCGUCACACCACGAGAGUUUGUAACACCCGAAGUCGGUGAGGUAACCUUUUGGAGCCAGCCGCCGAAGGUGGGAUAGAUGAUUGGGGUGAAGUCGUAACAAGGUAGCCGUAUCGGAAGGUGCGGUUGGAUCACCUCC